RNAcentral lists this ribosomal RNA (460 nucleotides) under uncultured bacterium. Its description in RNAcentral is "partial 16S ribosomal RNA". It matches the Rfam family "Bacterial small subunit ribosomal RNA", at positions 338 to 795 of the family's 1533-position model. The record is from RNAcentral.
CCUACGGGUGGCUGCAGUGAGGAAUAUUGGUCAAUGGACGAGAGUCUGAACCAGCCAAGUAGCGUGAAGGAUGACUGCCCUAUGGGUUGUAAACUUCUUUUAUAAAGGAAUAAAAUGAGGCACGUGUGCCUUUUUGCAUGUACUUUAUGAAUAAGGAUCGGCUAACUCCGUGCCAGCAGCCGCGGUAAUACGGAGGAUCCGAGCGUUAUCCGGAUUUAUUGGGUUUAAAGGGAGCGUAGAGGGGUUGUUAAGUCAGUUGUGAAAGUCUGCGGCUCAAACGGAGAAUUGCAAUUGAUACUGGCGGUCUUGAGUACAGGUGAGGUGUGCGGAAUGCGAGGUGUAGCGGUGAAAUGCUUAGAUAUAACGAAGAACCCCGAUUGCGAAGGCAGCUUACUAAACUGUAACUGACACUGAGGCUCGAAAGUGUGGGUAUCGAACAGGAUUAGAUACCCUAGUAGUC